Non-coding RNA from Drosophila suzukii, 1118 nucleotides. The record is from RefSeq and is a predicted model, not a curated record. Lineage: Eukaryota; Metazoa; Arthropoda; Insecta; Diptera; Drosophilidae.
UAUGUCUAUAAAUACCCUGCUUUUAUGUGCAAGGUGCAUAGAUCAAACGGGUCAUGCCAAAAAAACAGAGCAACAACAGAUUAGCGGAACCGUUGUUGUUGUUGCUUGUUAUUUUUCUGGAAGGCACGCGACUUUUUUCGUCUUUUUCACUUGCGUUUACUUAUGUGAAGGAGUUAGAAUUGCCCGCAAUUAACGUAGUUACAUAAAAUAAGCCAGUGGUUUAAAAGUGGUACCUAUACGAUUCCCAGACAAGGCUGAUGUAAAUCUAUAAAAAAAUGGAAGGCUGAGUCGUUCCAUCUUAAGCAUAUUAUCCGAGGAACUUGUUCUGUCCCACAACUUGGAGGGGGGCAAAACAAGAAGAAACUCAGUCUACCCAAAGUUCGUCCGCGCCUUAUUAAAUGCAAUCACUCUGGUGGAGCCUCGGAGCCUCCCGAAAAGUCGCUGCCGAAGGCAAUGCGGUGCGUUAAAAACUUGAGUUGUACCAAAAAAAAAGGCACCAGAUGCUGAGGAGGAGGUGCCAGCGACCACGAUAACACCGGGAACCCCCGAGCUCAAAUUUUAAAAUAAAUAAAUAAAAAUUACAACUGAAAUUUUAUUUGCUGCUAAGCGCUCAACGUGUGCUGAAUGUGCGCUUUUUCGCUGCUUGAAUGAGCGCUCAACGUGUGCUUUUUCCGCUGCGUAAUCGAGCGAUCAACGUGUGCUGAUUGUGUGCUUUUUCCGCUGCUUAAUCGAGCGCUCAACAUGUGCUGAACGUGUGCUUUUUUUGCUGCUCAAAAAAGCGCUCAAUGCGUGCUAGUUCUUGUGCACUGAUGAACCCUAGGACAUGCCUAUGUUAAUUUAAGCACUCAGUUCCAUACAAAUUGUGCUAUUAUUGAGCGCUCAGUGAUGAACUUUUUGCAGUGAUUGAGUGCUCAAUAAGCGCUGAAUGGUACUGCAGGGUAGUUUAACGUGUGGAAGAUGGUAGAUUGAUCUCUGUGGAAAGAGGGUAUUAAAUUGCUGUUGCAAUUUUAAUCGGAUCGAACACAGCGGAUCGGCAAAAACAAACCGAAACCGAAGGAGGCGGGCAUGCAUGUUUAUUUGUGAAUAUCAUAAUAGUUGCAGAAUGUCGUUUAGGGGCU